This 238-nucleotide long non-coding RNA is filed under the name Brassica napus (rape). Its description in RNAcentral is "long non-coding RNA (BNAP_LNC004037)". The record is from RNAcentral. Lineage: Eukaryota; Viridiplantae; Streptophyta; Magnoliopsida; Brassicales; Brassicaceae.
AAGAAAAUGACGGUGAGAAAUUAAGUUCAAGAAAAUAAUUGAUGAAUUGUCUCCUCGGAAAAUUAGACGUGUGCAUGGUAAAUAAGUCGACGGAAAGUCGAUAUACGUUUGGCAUUAUGUGUUUUUUUUGGGUCUAAUUGGCAUUAUGUGUUUAUUUUGAUUUAAACUACACGAUACGAUCAUUGAUGUGCUAUACCCUGACUGGCGAGGCUUCUUCUAAACGAGUGGAGUAGUUUAA